Molecule: ribosomal RNA, 301 nt
Filed under: uncultured bacterium
Lineage: Bacteria
Description: partial 16S ribosomal RNA
Rfam family: Bacterial small subunit ribosomal RNA
Source: RNAcentral
CAGUAGCCGCGGUAAUACGGAGGGAGCUAGCGUUAUUCGGAAUUACUGGGCGUAAAGCGCACGUAGGCGGCUUUGUAAGUUAGAGGUGAAAGCCUGGAGCUCAACUCCAGAAUUGCCUUUAAGACUGCAUCGCUUGAAUCCAGGAGAGGUGAGUGGAAUUCCGAGUGUAGAGGUGAAAUUCGUAGAUAUUCGGAAGAACACCAGUGGCGAAGGCGGCUCACUGGACUGGUAUUGACGCUGAGGUGCGAAAGCGUGGGGAGCAAACAGGAUUAGAGACCCCGGUAGUCCCUGUCUCUUAUAC